This 118-nucleotide ribosomal RNA is filed under the name Clostridium culturomicium. Lineage: Bacteria; Bacillati; Bacillota; Clostridia; Eubacteriales; Clostridiaceae. The record is from RNAcentral.
UCUGGUGAUGAUGCUCUUAAUGGAUACACCCGUUACCAUACCGAACACGAAGGUUAAGCAUUAAGAGGCCGAUAGUACUGCACGGGAAGCUGUGUGGGAGGGUAGGUGGUUGCCAGGU